MicroRNA precursor from Fukomys damarensis (Damara mole-rat), 86 nucleotides. The record is from Ensembl. NCBI's taxonomy places the organism in Eukaryota, Metazoa, Chordata, Mammalia, Rodentia, Bathyergidae.
AAUGGACUUAGCUGGGCAGUGGGGGAACCUUUCCAUGAGGAAUAGGACACUCCUUAUGCAAGAUUCCCUUUUGCCUGGCUGGGGUG